This is a long non-coding RNA of Physeter macrocephalus (sperm whale), 1031 nucleotides long. RefSeq lists it as uncharacterized. The record is from RefSeq and is a predicted model, not a curated record. NCBI's taxonomy places the organism in Eukaryota, Metazoa, Chordata, Mammalia, Artiodactyla, Physeteridae. The transcript is spliced from 3 exons.
CUCCAAGGGUCUGUAAUUAAAAAUAAAUUCCCAUCUGGCUCCCCACUGUGUAGACCUCCUGUGUGGCCCUGUGAUACGCUACACUUCUCCAGUGUGGCACUAAACCCACUGUAUUACAAGUUCCUUUUGAUUUUUCUCUCUUCCCCUUGGACUACAAACUGAAAAGGUAGAUGAUAAAUACCUGUUGAAUUAAUGACUCCAGCAAGCAUUCAUUGGGAGCCAGUGUGUGGCCGGCAGUGUUCUCGGCACUGGGAACACAGCAAGGAGGGUACCUGUGGGCAGAACCCCGGACUCACAAAGGAAACAAGACAAGGAAAUAAAUGUCUGCCGUGUGUCAAAUGGUGAAUGAUUAAAUACGAUUAGAACUGUCAGCCCUCCGCAAGAGAAUCUAAACAACCCACCUAAACGUUCUCUGUCUACGAUUAAAAGACAAAGAGUUUGGAACCCUUGUGAUUACUUUGCAGAAGAAAGAUAUUAUGAGGACACAGUCUAAAACUUGACUCAGGCCAGUAUCAGGUUUUCAUCAGCUGGUAGUAGAAGAGGACAUCAGAAAGAGAAGAGACAGGAGAAGAUUCAACACCAUUUGCUGGCCUUGAAGACGGAGAGGACAAUGUACAGAGAUUGGAGACUGGCCUCUGGGACUGACUGACCCCUGGCCAACAGACAGCAAGGAAACAGGAACCUCAGGCCUACAACUGAGCAAACCAGAUAAGAGUUCAGAGGUGAACUCAAGCAGAGGACCCAGCCAAGCUCGUUCAACCUUCUGAUCUGCAGAACAGUGAACUAAUACAUGGAUGCUGUUUUAAGCCCUGAGUUUGUGGGAAUUUGUUCAGCAGCAGUGGAAAACUAACCCAAUAAUUAGCAGCCUUCAAGUGAGGCUUGAUCUAACUUGAUGCAUCAGAAGCUGCCCAGCAACCUUUAAAAAAAAUUUCAUUAUAUAAAAUCAAUUUUUAAAAUAAAAAAUGUAAAACAUUGGCACCUGCUUUUGAAUCAAUUAAUUUAUGAAACCAUUUUCUUUUGUAUAAUAUGCA